This 72-nucleotide transfer RNA is filed under the name Camelus bactrianus (Bactrian camel). It matches the Rfam family "tRNA". Rfam says of the family: Transfer RNA (tRNA) molecules are approximately 80 nucleotides in length. Lineage: Eukaryota; Metazoa; Chordata; Mammalia; Artiodactyla; Camelidae. The record is from Rfam by way of RNAcentral. RNAcentral also lists the same sequence under 2 other names.
GAGGGUAGAGCUCAGUGGUAGAGCGCGUGCUCAGCAUGCACGAGGUCCUGGGUUCCAUCCUCAGCUCCUCCA